Molecule: ribosomal RNA, 429 nt
Filed under: Bacteroidota bacterium
Lineage: Bacteria; Pseudomonadati; Bacteroidota
Description: Bacteroidetes bacterium partial 16S ribosomal RNA
Rfam family: Bacterial small subunit ribosomal RNA
Source: RNAcentral
UAGGGAAUCUUCCGCAAUGGACGCAAGUCUGACGGAGCAACGCCGCGUGAGUGAAGAAGGAUUUCGGUUCGUAAAACUCUGUUGUUAGAGAAGAACAGCGCAUAGAGUAACUGUUAUGCGUGUGACGGUAUCUAACCAGAAAGCCACGGCUAACUACGUGCCAGCAGCCGCGGUAAUACGUAGGUGGCAAGCGUUGUUCGGAUUUAUUGGGCGUAAAGCGUGCGCAGGCGGUCAAUUAAGUCUGAUGUGAAAGCCCCCGGCUCAACCGGGGAGGGUCAUUGGAAACUGGUUGACUUGAGUGCAGAAGAGGAGAGUGGAAUUCCAUGUGUGGCGGUGAAAUGCGUAGAUAUAGGGAGAAAAACCAGUGGCGAAGGCGGCUCUCUGGUCUGUAACUGACGCGGAGGCUCGAAAGCGUGGGUAGCAAACAGG